Small nuclear RNA from Hyla sarda, 182 nucleotides. RefSeq annotates it as U2 spliceosomal RNA. The transcript has a single exon. The record is from RefSeq and is a predicted model, not a curated record. NCBI's taxonomy places the organism in Eukaryota, Metazoa, Chordata, Amphibia, Anura, Hylidae.
AUCCCCUCUAGGCCUUUUGGCUUAGAUCAAGUGUAAAAAAAGAAAGGAUCUUGCGACAGAUCGCAUCCUGAGGCACGUUUUUUUUUGUGUGAAUACUUGCACUUGGGUGACUUGUGAGCACAUACUGAUUGUUACGCCGAGCGCUCCGGGUUCCCGCUCCUCCCCGGAGCGCUCGCUUCACC